RNAcentral lists this ribosomal RNA (447 nucleotides) under uncultured bacterium. RNAcentral describes it as "bacterial SSU rRNA". It matches the Rfam family "Bacterial small subunit ribosomal RNA", at positions 355 to 825 of the family's 1533-position model. The record is from RNAcentral.
UCGGGAAUUUUGGGCAAUGGGCGAAAGCCUGACCCAGCAACGCCGCGUGAAGGAUGAAGUAUUUCGGUAUGUAAACUUCGAAAGAAUAGGAAGAAUAAAUGACGGUACUAUUUAUAAGGUCCGGCUAACUACGUGCCAGCAGCCGCGGUAAUACGUAGGGACCAAGCGUUGUCCGGAUUUAUUGGGUUUAAAGGGUGCGUAGGUGGCCCUGUAAGUCAGUGGUGAAAUAUCUCAGCUUAACUGAGAGGGUGCCAUUGAUACUGCAGGGCUUGAGUACAGAUGAGGUAGGCGGAAUUGACGGUGUAGCGGUGAAAUGCAUAGAUAUCGUCAAGAACACCGAUAGCGAAGGCAGCUUACCAAGCUGUAACUGACACUGAGGCACGAAAGUGUGGGGAUCAAACAGGAUUAGAUACCCCCGUAGUCCCUGAGCGGGCUGGCAAGGCGCAU